UCAGGAAAAGGGAGCGGGUCAGAAGGCAGCGCGGCGGCAAGCAGCGACUCUCCUUCGAGAAUUUCUUUAAUUGGGGAGCCGAGGCGGCUUUUGGUCUCCAGCUUUUCCCCCUGCAUUUUCACCGGGGCAGGAUUCUUAGGUCGUCAAAGUCCUACAUUUUAGCUUUCAGUGCUGAACUUCCUUCUCCCUUAAAUUAUUAUAAACUUUUGCUGCUGUUUAAUAAACGUGAAGAUGUCUCGCAGUCCUGAUGCGAAGGAAGACCCUGUGGAGUGCCCUCUUUGCAUGGAGCCCUUGGAGAUAGAUGAUAUCAACUUUUUCCCUUGCACCUGUGGCUACCAGAUUUGCCGAUUUUGUUGGCAUCGAAUUCGCACUGAUGAAAAUGGGCUUUGUCCUGCAUGUAGAAAGCCAUAUCCAGAAGACCCAGCAGUUUAUAAACCACUCUCCCAGGAAGAGCUGCAAAGGAUAAAGAAUGAGAAAAAACAGAAACAAAAUGAGAGAAAACAGAAAAUAUCAGAAAAUCGCAAACAUUUGGCUAGUG
Molecule: small RNA, 538 nt
Filed under: Pan troglodytes (chimpanzee)
Lineage: Eukaryota; Metazoa; Chordata; Mammalia; Primates; Hominidae
Description: processed transcript
Source: RNAcentral